UAUAAUGCAGUCGAAGCGGACAGAAGGGAGCUUGCUCCCGGAUGUUAGCGGCGGACGGGUGAGUAACACGUGGGUAACCUGCCUGUAAGACUGGGAUAACUCCGGGAAACCGGAGCUAAUACCGGAUAGUUCCUUGAACCGCAUGGUUCAAGGAUGAAAGACGGUUUCGGCUGUCACUUACAGAUGGACCCGCGGCGCAUUAGCUAGUUGGUGAGGUAACGGCUCACCAAGGCGACGAUGCGUAGCCGACCUGAGAGGGUGAUCGGCCACACUGGGACUGAGACACGGCCCAGACUCCUACGGGAGGCAGCAGUAGGGAAUCUUCCGCAAUGGACGAAAGUCUGACGGAGCAACGCCGCGUGAGUGAUGAAGGUUUUCGGAUCGUAAAGCUCUGUUGUUAGGGAAGAACAAGUGCAAGAGUAACUGCUUGCACCUUGACGGUACCUAACCAGAAAGCCACGGCUAACUACGUGCCAGCAGCCGCGGUAAUACGUAGGUGGCAAGCGUUGUCCGGAAUUAUUGGGCGUAAAGGGCUCGCAGGCGGUUUCUUAAGUCUGAUGUGAAAGCCCCCGGCUCAACCGGGGAGGGUCAUUGGAAACUGGGAAACUUGAGUGCAGAAGAGGAGAGUGGAAUUCCACGUGUAGCGGUGAAAUGCGUAGAGAUGUGGAGGAACACCAGUGGCGAAGGCGACUCUCUGGUCUGUAACUGACGCUGAGG
RNAcentral lists this ribosomal RNA (717 nucleotides) under Bacillus aerophilus. RNAcentral's name for it is "bacterial SSU rRNA". It matches the Rfam family "Bacterial small subunit ribosomal RNA", at positions 50 to 751 of the family's 1533-position model. Lineage: Bacteria; Bacillati; Bacillota; Bacilli; Caryophanales; Bacillaceae. The record is from RNAcentral.